Molecule: non-coding RNA, 1250 nt
Organism: Homo sapiens (human)
Lineage: Eukaryota; Metazoa; Chordata; Mammalia; Primates; Hominidae
Source: RefSeq, a predicted model, not a curated record
CUCUUGUCGCCGGUGCGUUGUGCCUGCAUCUUUGCUCCAGCUAAGCCAGCUCCUCUAGGCCUCUGGCUGCCCACCGCAGUGGGCUCUGGACUGGACUCUGGACCAUGCGUUGCUGGGUUUGCUGCUGUGAUGAUGGAGGUGCUGCUUUUGUCUGUCUGAUGUUUAUACUUUGUGGGUGUGGAGUGUGCUAGGAACAUCUCAUAUGUGCCAGGAACUGGCUCUUUGGAAAAGUCAGUCCAGGUUAGAAACAUAGACUGUGGCCGGGCAUAGUGGCUCACGCCUAUAAUCCCAGCACUUUGGGAAGCCAAGGUGGGCAGAUCUCUUGACUUGAGGUCAGGAGUUCGAGACCGGCCUGGCCAACAUUGUGAAACCCCAUCUCUACUAAAAAUACAAAAAUUAGCCAGGCAUGGUGGUGCAUGCCUGUAGUUCCAGCUAUCCGGGAGGCUGAGGCACGGGAAUUGCUUGAACCCUGGAGACAGAGGUUGCAGUGAGCCAAGAUCACGCCACUGCACUCCAGGACUGUAUCAAGUUCACUCCAAAAGUGGAGAAGAGCCAUCUGGACUGCAACUGCCACCAAGGGAAGCCACACUUCAGCCAAGUGGGGCCCUCCACCUAAGGCCGAGCAUGGUGUCACACAGCUGUAGCCGUUAGGAAUGUCUCUGGAUGCAAUGAAUAGAAAAUCUACAUAUCAGAGGCUGAAGCAAUAAGAGGCAGCAGCGUGGGUAUGGGCUAUUCUGGGUUUGGGGAAAUAGUUCAGAGAUGUUAUCCGGGAGCCAAGUCCACUUUUAUUGGCCUUUUAUUGGGAAGAAAGGAGUGUUCCUCUCAUCAAGAAGUAAAGUGUUUCCCAGAAGCACCCCCUCCUCCUCACAUUUCUUCACAUCUCUUUGGCUAGAACCGCAUCACACGGCCACCCCCAGUUGCAACAGAGACUGGGAAGGUGGAGUAUCAGAUGGAAAUCCUAUUGUCAGGACCCAGGCUGAGCAUGCUGCCUCCCCACACGAAACCAGACUUCUGUUAGCAAGAAAGAUACAAGAUCGCCGGCCACUAUGGUUAUUGACAUGUUGUGCUGUCAUCUUCCAAAAACUGACGAGGGCCAGGUGCGGUGGCACACACCUGUAAUCCCAACAUCCUGGAGGCUGAGGCAAGAGGAUCACUUGAGGCCAGGACUUUGAGACUAGCUUGGGCAACAUAGCGAGACCCCCAUCUCUACAAAAAAUAAAAAUAAAAAUUUUAAUAAAAAAAAUAGCCGA